CUACGGGGGGCUGCAGUGGGGAAUAUUGCACAAUGGGCGCAAGCCUGAUGCAGCAACGCCGCGUGGGGGAUGAAGGCCUUCGGGUUGUAAACCCCUUUUAGUAGGGAAGAAGCGAAAGUGACGGUACCUACAGAAAAAGCGCCGGCUAACUACGUGCCAGCAGCCGCGGUAAUACGUAGGGCGCAAGCGUUGUCCGGAAUUAUUGGGCGUAAAGAGCUCGUAGGCGGUUUGUCGCGUCUGCUGUGAAAUCCCGAGGCUCAACCUCGGGCCUGCAGUGGGUACGGGCAGACUAGAGUGUGGUAGGGGAGACUGGAAUUCCUGGUGUAGCGGUGGCAUGCGCAGAUAUCAGGAGGAACACCAAUGGCGAAGGCAGGUCUCUGGGCCAUAACUGACGCUGAGGAGCGAAAGCGUGGGGAGCGAACAGGAUUAGAUACCCGAGUAGUC
RNAcentral lists this ribosomal RNA (444 nucleotides) under uncultured bacterium. RNAcentral describes it as "partial 16S ribosomal RNA". It matches the Rfam family "Bacterial small subunit ribosomal RNA", at positions 339 to 795 of the family's 1533-position model. The record is from RNAcentral.